Molecule: long non-coding RNA, 1051 nt
Organism: Eptatretus burgeri (inshore hagfish)
Lineage: Eukaryota; Metazoa; Chordata; Myxini; Myxiniformes; Myxinidae
Source: Ensembl
CUACGCGCUGUUCUGGCACAUGCUCCCAUACCUGACCUGAUUCGUGAGUUUUUUCUCAUUUUCACGGGCAUAUUCGUGGGUUUUUUCUAGUUUUCGUGGGCAUAUGCGUGGGUGUUUUCUCAUUUGCGCGGGCAUAUUCGUGGGUUUUUCUCGUUUUCGUGGGCAUAUUCGUGGGUGUUUUCUCAUUUUCCCGGGCAUAUUCGUGGGUUUUUCUAGUUUUCGUGGGCAUAUGCGUGGGUUUUUUCUCAUUUGCGCGGGCAUAUUCGUGGGUUUUUCUCGUUUUCGUGGGCAUAUCCGUGGGUUUUUUCUCAUUUUCCCGGGCAUAUCCGUGGGUUUUUUCUCAUUUUCCCGGGCAUAUUUGUGGAUUUUUUUCUCGUUUGUGCAGGCGUAUUUGUGGGGUUUUUUUCUCGUUUUCGCGGGCGUAUUCAUGGUUUUUCACAUUUUCAUGGGCAUAUUCGUGGGGUUUUCCUCGUUUUCACGGGCAUAUUCGUGGGUUUUUUUCUUGUUAUCGGGGCAUAUUCGUGGAUUUUUUUCUCGUUUGCGCGGGCAUAUUCGUGGGUUUUUUCUAGUUUUCGGAUACAUAUUCGUGGGUUUUUUCUCGUUUGUGCGGGCAUAUUCGUGGGUUUUUUCUCGUUUUCGGGGGCAGAUUCGUGGGUUUUUUUUCGCGGUUUUUUCUCGUUUUCACGGGCAUAUUCGUGGAUUCUUUAGCCGUUGUUUUGUGGGCUUAUUCGUGUUUUUCGCAUUCUCAUGUGCAUAUGCGUGUUUUUUUUCUCGUUUUCGCGGGCAUAUUCGUGGGUUUUUUCUCGUUUUCGUGGGCAUAUUCGUGGUUUUUUUCUCGUUUUCGCAGACGUAUUCGUGGUUUUCUUCUAGUUUUCGUGGGCAUAUUCGUGGGUUCUUUAGCCGUUGUUUUGACGGCUUAUUCAUGUUUUUUCAGAUUUUCAUGGGCAUAUGCGUGUUUUUUUUCUCGUUUGCGCGGGCAUAUGCGUGGGUUUUUUCGAGGAAGCUGCAUUAAGCAACCAUAAAAGGCUACGCAAGGUAAGCCUUUUGCCGU